This is a non-coding RNA of Aspergillus steynii IBT 23096, 141 nucleotides long. The record is from the annotation of a RefSeq genome assembly. NCBI's taxonomy places the organism in Eukaryota, Fungi, Ascomycota, Eurotiomycetes, Eurotiales, Aspergillaceae.
GCCCGGCUAGCUCAAUCGGUAGAGCGUAAGACUGUACGAUUCUCCAAUGUUCACUUUUUCAUUGUUCCCAGCUAACGUUCCCGAAGUCUACACCCACAGAAGUUUAUCUUAAGGCUGCGGGUUCGACCCCCGCGUUGGGCU